This 440-nucleotide ribosomal RNA is filed under the name uncultured bacterium. RNAcentral describes it as "partial 16S ribosomal RNA". It matches the Rfam family "Bacterial small subunit ribosomal RNA", at positions 338 to 795 of the family's 1533-position model. The record is from RNAcentral.
CCUACGGGCGGCAGCAGUGGGGAAUAUUGCACAAUGGGGGAAACCCUGAUGCAUCGACGCCGCGUGAGUGCAUCAGUAAUUCGUUAUGUAACUCUCUAUCAGCAGGGAAGAAAAUGACGGUACCUGAGUAAGAAGCCCCGGCUAACUACGUGCCCGCAGCCGCGGUACUACGUAGGGGGCAAGCGUUCUCCGGAUUUACUGGGUGUAAAGGGGGCGGAGACGGCAGUGCAAGUCUGGAGUGAAAGGCGGGGGCUCAACCCCCGGACUGCUCUGGAAACUGUACGGCUGGAGUGCAGGAGAGGUAAGUGGAAGUCCUAGUGUAGCGGUGAAAUGCGUAGAUAUUAGGAGGAACACCAGUGGCGAAGGCGGCUUACUGGACUGUAACUGACGUUGAGGCUCGAAAGCGUGGGGAGCAAACAGGAUUAGAUACCCCUGUAGUC